UACGUAGGGUGCGAGCGUUAAUCGGAAUUACUGGGCGUAAAGCGUGCGCAGGCGGUCUCGCAAGUCCGAUGUGAAAUCCCCGGGCUCAACCUGGGAACUGCGUUGGAAACUACGAGGCUGGAGUACGGCAGAGGGGGGUGGAAUUCCACGUGUAGCAGUGAAAUGCGUAGAGAUCGGGAGGAACACCUGUGGCGAAGGCGGCCGACUGGGCCGACCCUGACGCUGAGGCGCGAAGGCGUGGGGAGCGAACGGG
This 253-nucleotide ribosomal RNA is filed under the name uncultured bacterium. RNAcentral's name for it is "partial 16S ribosomal RNA". It matches the Rfam family "Bacterial small subunit ribosomal RNA", at positions 524 to 776 of the family's 1533-position model. The record is from RNAcentral.